GAAAUGCGAUAAGUAAUGUGAAUUGCAGAAUUCAGUGAAUCAUCGAAUCUUUGAACGCAUCUUGCGCUCCUUGGUAUUCCUUGGAGCAUGCCUGUUUGAGUAUCAUGAAAUCUUCAAAGUAAAUCUUUUGUUAACUCAAUUGGUUUCUACUUUGGUAUUGGAGGUCUUUGCAGCUUCACACCUGCUCCUCUUUGUUCAUUAGCUGGAUCUCGGUGUUAUGCUUGGUUCCACUCGGCGUGAUAAGUUAUCUAUCGCUGAGGACACUGUAAAAGGUGGCCAAGGUAAAUGCAGAUGAACCGCUUCUAAUAGUCCAUUGACUUGGACAAUACUUUUAUGAUCUGAUCUCAAAUCAGGUAGGACUACCCGCUGAACUUAAGC
Molecule: unclassified non-coding RNA, 378 nt
Filed under: plant metagenome
Description: partial contains 5.8S ribosomal RNA, internal transcribed spacer 2, and large subunit ribosomal RNA
Rfam family: 5.8S ribosomal RNA (bases 1-105)
Source: RNAcentral